GAUGAACGCUGGCGGCGUGCCUAAUACAUGCAAGUCGAACGCUUUGUGCUUAAUUGAUAUGACGAGCUUGCUCCGAUUUUGAUUUUUUUGAUUUUCAAAGAGUGGCGAACGGGUGAGUAACACGUGGGUAACCUACCUCUUAGCAGGGGAUAACAUUUGGAAACAAGUGCUAAUACCGUAUAAUACCAACAACCGCAUGGUUGUUGGUUGAAAGAUGGUUCUGCUAUCACUAAGAGAUGGACCCGCGGUGCAUUAGCUAGUUGGUAAGGUAAUGGCUUACCAAGGCAAUGAUGCAUAGCCGAGUUGAGAGACUGAUCGGCCACAAUGGGACUGAGACACGGCCCAU
This 346-nucleotide ribosomal RNA is filed under the name uncultured bacterium. Its description in RNAcentral is "bacterial SSU rRNA". It matches the Rfam family "Bacterial small subunit ribosomal RNA", at positions 28 to 334 of the family's 1533-position model. The record is from RNAcentral.